RNAcentral lists this ribosomal RNA (457 nucleotides) under Aphodius indutilis. Its description in RNAcentral is "partial 16S ribosomal RNA". The record is from RNAcentral. Lineage: Eukaryota; Metazoa; Arthropoda; Insecta; Coleoptera; Scarabaeidae.
GUCUUUUUGAUUAUAAUUUAAAGUCUAGUCUGCCCAAUGAAUUAUUCAAUGGCCGCAGUAUUUUAACUGUGCGAAGGUAGCAUAAUAAUUAGUUUUUUAAUUGAGAACUGGUAUGAAUGGCUGGACGAGAAAAUAGCUGUCUCAAUUUAAUUUAAAUUAGAAUUUUAUUUUUAAGUUAAAAAGCUUAAAUUUUUUUAAAAGACGAGAAGACCCUAUAGAGUUUUAUAUUAAAAUUAUAUUAAAUUUAUAAAGUAUUAUUCUUAUUUUAUUUAAUUUUAUUAUUUUAUUGGGGUGAUAUAAAAAUUUGAUAAACUUUUUAUUUUUUAAGGCAUUGAUAUAUGUUUAAUUGAUCCAUUUUUUAUGAUUAAAAGAUUAAAUUACCUUAGGGAUAACAGCGUAAUUUUUUUUUAGAGUUCUUAUCGAAAAAAAAGUUUGCGACCUCGAUGUUGGAUUAAAA